This 253-nucleotide ribosomal RNA is filed under the name uncultured bacterium. RNAcentral's name for it is "partial 16S ribosomal RNA". It matches the Rfam family "Bacterial small subunit ribosomal RNA", at positions 524 to 776 of the family's 1533-position model. The record is from RNAcentral.
UACGGGGGGGGCAAGCGUUGUUCGGAAUUACUGGGCGUAAAGGGCUCGUAGGUGGCCAACUAAGUCAGACGUGAAAUCCCCAGGCUUAACCUGGGAACUGCGUCUGAUACUGGAUGGCUUGAAUUCGGGAGAGGGAUGCAGAAUUCCAGGUGUAGCGGUGAAAUGCGUAGAUAUCUGGAGGAACACCGAUGGCGAAGGCAGGUCUCUGGGCCACUACUGACGCUGAGAAGCGAAAGCAUGGGGAGCGAACAGG